Molecule: long non-coding RNA, 1475 nt
Filed under: Canis lupus familiaris (dog)
Lineage: Eukaryota; Metazoa; Chordata; Mammalia; Carnivora; Canidae
Description: lncRNA (ENSCAFG00845010728.1)
Source: RNAcentral
GGCAGACGCGCGCACCCGCACCCGCACCCGCACCCGCAGGCGCGCACACGGGUGUUUGGGCCGUGUAUCCCCCUACCCACUCCCCUCCUUCCUUCGAACGGCUUCAACCCAAACCUUAAAAUUAAAGCCAUCCCCAAAUUUGGUCUUGGGGAUCUUGCUGGCUGUCGGAUUUCGGUGCAGCGUUCCCUCCCCCGCGCUGCUGCUGCUGCCGCUUAAGGACAGUUACUUGCCCCGGGAGGGAACGGUCAAGUGGAAGCUGUGUGUGGGCGUGCGUGUGUGUGCGCGCGUGUGUGCGCGUGUGGCUUCUUUGGGGCACAUGCACACCCCGCCGUAGCCUCCGGAUCGGCAGUCCCGCCGCCGGGGCUUGUCCCUGCCAGCCAAGGACUCCACAAGGAGGGAGUCCCCGGUCCCCGGCAGGGCAGCCUGCGAGCGGCUUCGGUGCUGGGCACGCUCGGGGCGGAGGAAGCCCGGCGAGGAGCGGGGUCCUCCCACGGAGGGGCCGGAGCUGCCCCCCGCCGCGCCCCCCGCCCGGCCCCCGCGCCCCCAGACCCGCCCCCCCCCCCCCCCGUGCUCUGCGCACCCGACUCCGGGAGGCGGAGGGAGGGGCGCGGCGCCCUCCCGGGCCGCGAGCGGUCACGGAAUCUGACACCCGGACAGGCAGCUGGUCCCCGGCCAGGACGCCCCGCGCCUUCUCAAAUGGAAACAGUCUCUCCCAGGGAACCUGCCCGAAUUCCCGGUGGAAUCUCACCUGAGCUUUGGCUCCUGGCGCAUUUCACCCAGGCCGCAUCUACCAUCACUUCGAGGCAAGGAAGGCCCCCGAUGGAGCGGGGCUCUUGGUGGCCGAACAAGCAGAGCGGCGGUUCCAGAGGACCAGUGGCCACAGGCUGCUGGAGGCCCGAGGCCGCCCCUGCCGCCCCUGCCGGCCUCCCUACUUCUUCGAUUCGGGUCCUCAGCCGACCUCCUCUCUGGAGCCCGGGACACUGCCGAGCUUCGCCGAGAAGCAACAACCCAUGACGAGGCGUUGGCACCUGCUUCUUGCCUUGACAUGGUUCCAUAAGGAAGAUCCGGCGUGUCCGACGACGCUCCAGUCCGGGUCUGUACCACUCCACGGUGCCAUCGUAGUUUUCUCGGAAAAUUAUUAAUUAUAUCAACAGAAUUAUUGGCGAUACUGUGCAAAGAGAUUUCAGCCUUGUCAACACAAUAGCUUCAACAAUGCCUGCUCUUGCAUCCUCUAGAAAGCAGAGCCCAAGCCAGGGUUCAGAGCACUGUCAGUUUGUCCAGGAUGUGCAGUCCAGGAGUGUGGGGGUGAACAAGGCAAGAGAAAAGGUAAGGUGAUGCUGUUCAAUGCCACAUAUAUUCUCACUAGCUGCGUUGACCAGUGAGCUGAGUGGGAUAGGGCAUGCUGUGUCACUGCAUGCACGUUUACUUGGCAUGUGGGACUUCUCCAGAAGGCUUGCAAGGAAGAACUAUUCUGU